GUGUCAGCAGCCGCGGUAAGACGUAGGAUGCGAGCGUUAUUCGGAUUUAUUGGGCGUAAAGCGUGCGUAGGCGGCUGUUUAAGUCUGGUGUUAAAGCUAGGGGCUCAACCCCUGUGGUGCAUCGGAUACUGGGCAGCUUGAGUGCGGUAGGGGAAGGUGGAAUUCCGAGUGUAGCGGUGAAAUGCGUAGAUAUUCGGAAGAACACCGGUGGCGAAGGCGACCUUCUGGGCCGCAACUGACGCUGAGGCACGAAAGCCUGGGGAGCGAACGGGAUUAGAAACCCUCGUAGUCC
Molecule: ribosomal RNA, 292 nt
Filed under: uncultured bacterium
Lineage: Bacteria
Description: partial 16S ribosomal RNA
Rfam family: Bacterial small subunit ribosomal RNA
Source: RNAcentral